UCCCUGGUGACCUAGAGGUUAAGGGGACAGCAUUGUCACUGCUGUGGUACAGGUUCGAUCCCUGGCCUGGCAG
RNAcentral lists this transfer RNA (73 nucleotides) under Sus scrofa (pig). It matches the Rfam family "tRNA". From Rfam's summary of the family: Transfer RNA (tRNA) molecules are approximately 80 nucleotides in length. Their secondary structure includes four short double-helical elements and three loops (D, anti-codon, and T loops). The record is from Rfam by way of RNAcentral. Lineage: Eukaryota; Metazoa; Chordata; Mammalia; Artiodactyla; Suidae.